RNAcentral lists this ribosomal RNA (1476 nucleotides) under uncultured bacterium. RNAcentral's name for it is "bacterial SSU rRNA". It matches the Rfam family "Bacterial small subunit ribosomal RNA". The record is from RNAcentral.
GACGAACGCUGGCGGCGUGCUUAACACAUGCAAGUCGAGCGAUUCAAGUGUAAUAUGCGGGGACACAGUUUCCGCGUAUUAUGUUUGGAUAGCGGCGGACGGGUGAGUAACACGUGGGUAACCUGCCCUAUACAUCGGGAUAACACUGGGAAACCGGUGCUAAUACCGAAUGAAAUAUGCGAUAGGCAUCUAUUGCAUAUCGAAGGAUGAACUGAAAGGGGAACCGGUAUAGGAUGGGCCCGCGUCCGAUUAGCUAGUUGGUAGGGUAACGGCCUACCAAGGCGACGAUCGGUAGCCGGACUGAGAGGUUGGCCGGCCACAUUGGGACUGAGACACGGCCCAGACUCCUACGGGAGGCAGCAGUGGGGAAUAUUGCGCAAUGGGGGAAACCCUGACGCAGCGACGCCGCGUGAAGGAAGAAGGCCUUCGGGUUGUAAACUUCUUUGACCGGGGACGAACGAAAUGACGGUACCCGGGGAACAAGCCACGGCUAACUACGUGCCAGCAGCCGCGGUAAUACGUAGGUGGCGAGCGUUGUCCGGAAUUACUGGGUGUAAAGGGCGUGUAGGCGGGGAUACAAGUCAGGUGUGAAAUUCCGCGGCUCAACUGCGGGACUGCAUUUGAAACUGUAUAUCUUGAGUAUUGGAGAGGGAAGUGGAAUUCCUAGUGUAGCGGUGAAAUGCGUAGAGAUUAGGAGGAACACCAGUGGCGAAGGCGGCUUCCUGGCCAAAUACUGACGCUGAGGCGCGAAAGCGUGGGGAGCAAACAGGAUUAGAUACCCUGGUAGUCCACGCCGUAAACGAUGGAUACUAGGUGUGGGUGGCAACGGACCAUCUGUGCCGGCGUUAACACAAUAAGUAUCCCACCUGGGGAGUACGGCCGCAAGGUUGAAACUCAAAGGAAUUGACGGGGGCCCGCACAAGCAGUGGAGUAUGUGGUUUAAUUCGAAGCAACGCGAAGAACCUUACCAGGGCUUGACAUCCCUCGAAUUGCAUGGAAACAUGCAAGUCCUUCGGGACGAGGAGACAGGUGGUGCAUGGUUGUCGUCAGCUCGUGUCGUGAGAUGUUGGGUUAAGUCCCGCAACGAGCGCAACCCUUGUUGUUAGUUGCCAUCAAGUAAAGUUGGGCACUCUAACGAGACUGCCGGUGAUAAAUCGGAGGAAGGUGGGGAUGACGUCAAAUCAUCAUGCCCUUUAUGUCCUGGGCUACACACGUACUACAAUGGCUGCUACAGAGGGCAGCGAAGCCGCAAGGCGAAGCGAAUCCCAAAAAAGCGGUCUCAGUUCGGAUUGUGGGCUGCAACCCGCCCGCAUGAAGCCGGAAUUGCUAGUAAUGGCAGGUCAGCAUACUGCCGUGAAUACGUUCCCGGGCCUUGUACACACCGCCCGUCACACCAUGAGAGUCUGCAACACCCGAAGUCGGUAGUUUAACCUGAAAAGGAGGACGCCGCCGAAGGUGGGGUAGAUGAUUGGGGUG